AGUCGAACGAUGAUGCCCAGCUUGCUGGGCGGAUUAGUGGCGAACGGGUGAGUAAUACGUGAGUAACCUGCCCUUGACUCUGGGAUAAGCCUGGGAAACUGGGUCUAAUACUGGAUACUACCGUCCACCGCAUGGUGGGUGGUGGAAAGGGUUUUACUGGUUUUGGAUGGGCUCACGGCCUAUCAGCUUGUUGGUGGGGUAAUGGCUCACCAAGGCGACGACGGGUAGCCGGCCUGAGAGGGUGACCGGCCACACUGGGACUGAGACACGGCCCAGACUCCUACGGGAGGCAGCAGUGGGGAAUAUUGCACAAUGGGCGGAAGCCUGAUGCAGCGACGCCGCGUGAGGGAUGACGGCCUUCGGGUUGUAAACCUCUUUCAGUAGGGAAGAAGCGAGAGUGACGGUACCUGCAGAAGAAGCGCCGGCUAACUACGUGCCAGCAGCCGCGGUAAUACGUAGGGCGCAAGCGUUGUCCGGAAUUAUUGGGCGUAAAGAGCUCGUAGGCGGUUUGUCGCGUCUGCUGUGAAAGCCCGGGGCUCAACCCCGGGUCUGCAGUGGGUACGGGCAGACUAGAGUGCAGUAGGGGAGACUGGAAUUCCUGGUGUAGCGGUGAAAUGCGCAGAUAUCAGGAGGAACACCGAUGGCGAAGGCAGGUCUCUGGGCUGUUACUGACGCUGAGGAGCGAAAGCAUGGGGAGCGAACAGGAUUAGAUACCCUGGUAGUCCAUGCCGUAAACGUUGGGCACUAGGUGUGGGGGACAUUCCACGUUUUCCGCGCCGUAGCUAACGCAUUAAGUGCCCCGCCUGGGGAGUACGGCCGCAAGGCUAAAACUCAAAGGAAUUGACGGGGGCCCGCACAAGCGGCGGAGCAUGCGGAUUAAUUCGAUGCAACGCGAAGAACCUUACCAAGGCUUGACAUUCACCGGACCGCCCCAGAGAUGGGGUUUCCCUUCGGGGCUGGUGGACAGGUGGUGCAUGGUUGUCGUCAGCUCGUGUCGUGAGAUGUUGGGUUAAGUCCCGCAACGAGCGCAACCCUCGUUCUAUGUUGCCAGCACGUGAUGGUGGGGACUCAUAGGAGACUGCCGGGGUCAACUCGGAGGAAGGUGGGGAUGACGUCAAAUCAUCAUGCCCCUUAUGUCUUGGGCUUCACGCAUGCUACAAUGGCCGGUACAAAGGGUUGCGAUACUGUGAGGUGGAGCUAAUCCCAAAAAGCCGGUCUCAGUUCGGAUUGAGGUCUGCAACUCGACCUCAUGAAGUCGGAGUCGCUAGUAAUCGCAGAUCAGCAACGCUGCGGUGAAUACGUUCCCGGGCCUUGUACACACCGCCCGUCAAGGCACGAAAGUUGGUAACACCCGAAGCCGGUGGCCUAACCCC
Molecule: ribosomal RNA, 1373 nt
Filed under: Kocuria sp.
Lineage: Bacteria; Bacillati; Actinomycetota; Actinomycetes; Micrococcales; Micrococcaceae
Description: bacterial SSU rRNA
Rfam family: Bacterial small subunit ribosomal RNA
Source: RNAcentral